AAUCAACGCUGGCGGCGUGCCUAACACAUGCAAGUCGAACGCGAAAGCCCCUUCGGGGGUAAGUAGAGUGGCGUCCGGGUGAGUAACACGUAGGUAAUCUGCCUUCGGGUGGGGAAUAACCAGUCGAAAGAUUGGCUAAUACCGCAUAAUGCAGCGGCACCUAAUGGUGAUUAGUUGUUAAAGCGGGGGAUCGUAAGACCUCGCGCCUGAAGAGGAGCCUGCGGCAGAUUAGCAGUUGGUGAGGUAAUGGCUCACCAAGGCUUCGAUCUGUAGCUGGUCUGAGAGGACGGCCAGCCACACUGGCACUGACACACGGGCCAGACUCCUACGGGAGGCAGCA
This 340-nucleotide ribosomal RNA is filed under the name uncultured bacterium. RNAcentral describes it as "bacterial SSU rRNA". It matches the Rfam family "Bacterial small subunit ribosomal RNA", at positions 32 to 353 of the family's 1533-position model. The record is from RNAcentral.